CCUAAUACAUGCAAGUCGAGCGAAUGGAUUAAGAGCUUGCUCUUAUGAAGUUAGCGGCGGACGGGUGAGUAACACGUGGGUAACCUGCCCAUAAGACUGGGAUAACUCCGGGAAACCGGGGCUAAUACCGGAUAACAUUUUGAACCGCAUGGUUCGAAAUUGAAAGGCGGCUUCGGCUGUCACUUAUGGAUGGACCCGCGUCGCAUUAGCUAGUUGGUGAGGUAACGGCUCACCAAGGCAACGAUGCGUAGCCGACCUGAGAGGGUGAUCGGCCACACUGGGACUGAGACACGGCCCAGACUCCUACGGGAGGCAGCAGUAGGGAAUCUUCCGCAAUGGACGAAAGUCUGACGGAGCAACGCCGCGUGAGUGAUGAAGGCUUUCGGGUCGUAAAACUCUGUUGUUAGGGAAGAACAAGUGCUAGUUGAAUAAGCUGGCACCUUGACGGUACCUAACCAGAAAGCCACGGCUAACUACGUGCCAGCAGCCGCGGUAAUACGUAGGUGGCAAGCGUUAUCCGGAAUUAUUGGGCGUAAAGCGCGCGCAGGUGGUUUCUUAAGUCUGAUGUGAAAGCCCACGGCUCAACCGUGGAGGGUCAUUGGAAACUGGGAGACUUGAGUGCAGAAGAGGAAAGUGGAAUUCCAUGUUGUAGCGGUGAAAUGCGUAGAGAUAUGGAGGACACCAGUGGCGAAGGCGACUUUCUGGUCUGUAACUGACACUGAGCGCGAAAGCGUGGGGAGCAAACAGAAUUA
Molecule: ribosomal RNA, 752 nt
Filed under: Bacillus sp. DWSR79
Lineage: Bacteria; Bacillati; Bacillota; Bacilli; Caryophanales; Bacillaceae
Description: bacterial SSU rRNA
Rfam family: Bacterial small subunit ribosomal RNA
Source: RNAcentral